GAUGAACGCUGGCGGCGUGCUUAACACAUGCAAGUCGAACGGAAAGGCCCAAGCUUGCUUGGGUCCUCGAGUGGCGAACGGGUGAGUAACACGUGGGUGAUCUGCCCUGCACUUCGGGAUAAGCCUGGGAAACUGGGUCUAAUACCGGAUAGGACUAUGGUUUGGAUGCCAUUGUUGAAAGUUUUUUCGGUGUGGGAUGAGCUCGCGGCCUAUCAGCUUGUUUGUGGGGUAAUGGCCUACCAAGGCGUCGACGGGUAGCCGGCCUGAGAGGGUGUAAGGCCACAUUGUGACUGAGAGACGGCCCAGACUCCUACGGGAGGCAGAAGUGGGGAAUAUUGUACAAUGGGGGCAAGCCUGAUGCAGCGAAGCGGCGUGGGGGAUGAGGGCCUUUGGGUUGUAAACUCCUUUCGCUAGGGACGAAGCGUUUUUGUGACGGUAACUGGAGAAGAAGCACCGGCUAACUACGUG
This 468-nucleotide ribosomal RNA is filed under the name uncultured bacterium. RNAcentral's name for it is "partial 16S ribosomal RNA". It matches the Rfam family "Bacterial small subunit ribosomal RNA", at positions 28 to 507 of the family's 1533-position model. The record is from RNAcentral.